RNAcentral lists this unclassified non-coding RNA (246 nucleotides) under Hevea brasiliensis (rubber tree). Lineage: Eukaryota; Viridiplantae; Streptophyta; Magnoliopsida; Malpighiales; Euphorbiaceae. The record is from RNAcentral.
CCAACAUAAACCACAACAUCCAACUCUAAUCAGCCGACCCAUCUUGCAUUACCAAUGCCAUAAACUAGCGAUCAGGAACAAACAAGCGACGCAAAUAAAUAAACCAGAGAAAAACGAUCAAAACCAGAGAAAAACGAUCAAAACCAAUAACAGAACGCCCAAAACUCACUUGUUAACUUCCAUGAAGCAAUAGCAUCCAACGAUUCCAAACUCCGUUUUAAAAUAAAAAAUCCUAUUCGCUACAAC